This is a long non-coding RNA of Balaenoptera musculus (blue whale), 3324 nucleotides long. RefSeq lists it as uncharacterized. The transcript is spliced from 3 exons. Lineage: Eukaryota; Metazoa; Chordata; Mammalia; Artiodactyla; Balaenopteridae. The record is from RefSeq and is a predicted model, not a curated record.
GGGGCACAUGACGGCGGCGCCCGCCCCGCCCCGCGCCCGCCCCCUGCCCGGCCGCGGGGGAGGAGACGGGGAGGUUUUAAAAGCGAUUCGACCCCGCGGCGGGCCGGCCAGUGAGUGGGAUGGAGCGCGGUCGGCGACCGCCCCCGGCUUGUUUCGGCCCCGCCGCCCGCCCGCCUGUGUCUCCGCCGGCCGGGCCGGGGCGGCGGCCGGAGCCCCGAGUGCCGGCUCCCCUCCCCCGUGGCCCCAGACUGACCUCUGACCCCAGCACCGGACUUGACUGCUACCAAAGCCCCCAGCCGUACACUGACUGUCCUAUGCAACCCAGCCAGGCCCAGACCAGUGCCAGCUGCUGGCCCUGCCCGGUGCCCCCCCACCCCUGUGCCAUGGCCGGCUGGGGUUCCUGGGGAUGGGAUUUGCUGCCUGUCACAAAUCACAUUGCCAGGGAUUUCCAACCGACCCUGAGCCCUGCCUCUGGGGCCACCGCUGUCACUGCUUCCGCUGAGGACACUGACCCAGGGAUGGGGAUGGGGUGGCAGAGAGGCCUCCACCGCCUGUGUCUGGCCUGGGGAGCAGGGCUUAGCUGCUUGUGAGCAGGUCCACAGCAAGUCGUGUUCACAGUGGCUAAGUUCCGCCCCCCGGGGCCCCGCCUCCUCUGGCCCUGCCACCUCUCCCCUCCGCCUGCCUGUCCGACCUCCGGGCCUCUCUGGGCUCUGCCUCCCGUGCCUACUGAGCUGAAACACAGUUGAUUUGUGCAGACUGGCUCAGUUCAGCAGGAACAGGAGUCAAGCCCCCUUGGAGUCUUCGGCCCCUGCCUUCCUUGGGUGGGCCAGUCGCUGCCUGGGAGAAGAGAUGAGGACCCUGCCCUGGACCUGUGUCUGGAGGAGGAACUUGGGGACGAGUGGAGCCUGGGAUGGGAUGGGUGAACCCAGCUGUCUGCUGCAGGCCCCCUCCUCCAAUUCUGCACUUGGGGACCCUCACACGGUCCCAUCUCAGGCUGGGCUGUGUUCCCAGGGAGGAUGGGUAGGCAGGCGGGUGGCCAGCCUUUCCAUGAAAAAAGGAAGCCAGCUGUGUCCCCGCCUGGCCGACCCUCGGCCCCUCCUCUCCCAAGCCUGGUCGGGGGAUGGCUGGCUCGCAUCUUCCCAGCAGUCAGUUACCCAAGAGGAAGCUGCCUUGGGCCCCCAGACCGUUAAAUGCCAACUCCGGGCUUCCGGAACCAGGCUGGCCUGACCUGAACCUGCCUGGCCCCUUCUCCCUGGGCCCUGCGGCUUCCUAACUUGGGGGGGAGGAGCCAUGACGCCCUCCUGGCACGUGGGGCAGGGAAUGAGGUCCCUGUGGGCCCAAAGGACACAAGCAGGCCCUCUCAGUCCUUGGGUGGUCCCAGGGCAUGGACGCGUUGAGACUUUGUCCAUCAUCAGAUGGAAUGGGGCUCUUUUGGGGGUGAGACUGGGGAGGCAGAGUGAAGCCCCCCAGGCUGUCAGAGUUGGCUCAGUGUACCCCUGUUCCACUGGGGCAGGGGUAGACAGCAGCUUGGGGAAGUCUAUGCUGUGUGUCGAGCCUGUUGUUCAAUUAAAUAAAAGCUGCCCCCUGCCUCAUUCCUGAAGGUCUGGUGGUUUGUGAUUUAUUCUGGCCUCCAACCCUGGAGUUUCUGGCUUUUUGACUGGGGAGGGUUGAUUGGUCUGAAUUUACUGUCCUGGCAUCCUGGGCUCCUGACUUCACAGGAUGCCCAUUCCUGCCCCACCUGCUCUGAGGAAGGUGAUAAUUUUGUCACAUGGGUGGAAAGGGUGCCCUUGUCAUGGAAAGGUGACCUUGAGGAGUGUCCUUGGGAUGGGUGUUGACCCCACAUGAAACCCUGGGCUGGAGGGACUGACUUUCAGGGUUGGUGUGGUGACAGGGAGGACUGUUCUUGGAGGACUUAGAUGGGACAUGAUGAGGCAUGCCCCACAUCCAGGGCCGGGUGUGGGAGAGAAUGGGACCCAAUCUAAGCUGGUGGCUGGGGGUGACCCUGAGGGAAACACUGGACAUUUGGGGAUACCUGGGACCUGAAGGUUUUGAUCUAGUGACAUUUGGGGAUGACUUAGACGUAAGGGACAACUUGGGCUGGGGGUAAGAUUUGGGGUGUCUGGUAUCUGAGAAGGCUGGUGGGGAACUUGGGCUUGAGGUGUGUAUGUGGGCCCAAGGGGGACAUCUGGCUGUGACUGGGACCUGAGUCGCGCCCUAGGUCUGUGGGAAACAUCUAUCUGUAGAUGACUUUGAGAGGUGAGGGGCACAGUACGGGGCACCCCAGGUCUGAGGAUGUUUGGAGGCAGCUGGGACCACAAGGGCCAAAGCUGAUGUAGAGUGCUCAGAACUGCCACUCCUACCCUCCCAGGCCUACAGGCGGCACUAAGGAGCGUGCGGGCCAGCGUGGGGGUGGGGGGGGGUCUCCCCGCACUUACCUGCGGGAAUGCGUGAGGCGGGGCAGGAGGUGGGACCGCCUCCAACUGGUUCCCUCCAGCGCAGGGAGGGGCCAAGAACCAAUCGCCAGGCCCAGCGCCACCGAAGGCCCGCCCACUGCUGCGCGCAGGCCCCCGGCGCCCUCUAGCGGCCGGCUCCGCCCAGCCUCGCUCUGAGCCCCGCCCCUCCGGGAAGCCUCUGUCCUCGCCUGCCCCGGCCCUGACAGUGACCCAGACAGUCUGUCCCUCUGUCCGUCAGUCUCUAAAGACAGGAAGCCAGUAAAGGAAGGCAACCAAGGACCUUCUUGCCGUCCACCAGAUCCCUCACUCUAUUUGGGGACUGGGAGCCUCAUCCGCGGUGUAGGAGCCCAGACACGCCCCCCCAUUGACCCCGCCCACCAAGGCCUAGUCUAAGUCGAGUUCCCACCUUUGGGGGGCGUGUCUUCCCCACCCAGCGGCACCCAGCACCUGACACGCACCACCCCCGUGCUCAGAAACUUGCAAUUAACUCCAACAGCUAGUGCUGGAACCAGGGCACCCCCUAGUGGCCAUUCCCAGCCCUGCAUGGGCCAUGCAGCCCGGGAUGAGCAAUCAGUGGCCCUACCCCAGCAAGGUACUAAAUCUAGCUCUGUCUCUUUCUAAAACUGAGUGCCCUUUCUUAAACUUUGGAGCCUCAGUUUUCUCCUCUGUAAAAUAGGAAUGCUAAUCCUACCGACUCAUAGGGCUGUUAUGACAGGUGUUGUAACAGAUGACAGGUGUAAAGCGCGGGUGUCAGCCCCCGGCUUGCUCAUAGUGAGCUCUCUCUCCCUGUCUGCUAUCAUCCAUAUUGUUACCACUGGAGGAAACCAGCAGUGGCUCCCAUUGCACCCCUCACUUGAAGCUGUACCCAGAG